CACGCUACGUGUGAAUCAUCGAAUCUUUGAACGCAAGUUGCGCUGUCGGGCAAGCACCUGACAGCGAGCCUGGAUGAGGGUGGUGCAAAGCGAAGGAGAUCUGUGCUCUCGUUUGUGGAGUGCGGGAGAGUGGGCCAUGUUUUUGUCCGCGAGGGCAAAUGGUCUGAAGCGUGGUGUUUGCGCGUUUGGAAGGUGUGCGCGAGUGAGCGAAGUGUGCGCAUGGAGCUCAGAUUGGCGUAGCAUAUUCCUGCGUAGACAUUGGAAGGAGGGAGGGAAGAGUUUCAACAUUCACUCCCAACAAACAUAACCUAUCACCUCAUCUCAGGCUCGACUACCCGCCGAAUUUAAGCAUAUCAAUAAGCGGAGG
Molecule: ribosomal RNA, 367 nt
Filed under: Haplosclerida environmental sample
Lineage: Eukaryota; Metazoa; Porifera; Demospongiae; Haplosclerida
Description: eukaryotic LSU rRNA
Rfam family: 5.8S ribosomal RNA (bases 1-83)
Source: RNAcentral